AGCCUUUCGAAUCCGUGCUGAGAUUUCUUCAGACAUCAACUCAUUAGGGUUGAUCAAACUUGCAAGGUAAGCGAAGUU
Molecule: non-coding RNA, 78 nt
Organism: Schistosoma mattheei
Lineage: Eukaryota; Metazoa; Platyhelminthes; Trematoda; Strigeidida; Schistosomatidae
Source: Rfam